AUAAUCUUCAAAUAAAUUGAUUUCUUAUAAUCUUAAUUUUUUUGAUAGUUUAAUAAAACAUACCAUAAAUCAAAUAAAAAUACAUAAGUCUAGUAUAUCCAAAUCCUUACUGAUAGAUGCAAGAACUUUCAUGUAUGCAACAAAAAGAAGAUCAUCUUUUGCUAUAUAUGCCAUGCCCAAUUUUGAUGGUGGGAAGAUAUCAAGUAGUAUUUCUAGCUAAUAUCAAGAUUUCGAAAAUAUUUUUUACAAGAAAAAUAUAAAUUUUUUUCUAGAACAUCAUCCUUAUGAUUAUUCCAUCAAUCAUCUAGAAAGAACUCAACCACCAUUUGAACCAAUCUAUAGCCUAUCAAAAAAUAAGUUGGCAUUAUUUAAAGAAUAUAUUAAUGAAAAUUUGGCUAAAAAUGCCAUAUAACAUUUUAAAUCUCCAACUGA
Molecule: long non-coding RNA, 432 nt
Filed under: Physcomitrium patens
Lineage: Eukaryota; Viridiplantae; Streptophyta; Bryopsida; Funariales; Funariaceae
Description: long non-coding RNA (PPAT_LNC009272)
Source: RNAcentral